RNAcentral lists this ribosomal RNA (441 nucleotides) under uncultured bacterium. Its description in RNAcentral is "partial 16S ribosomal RNA". It matches the Rfam family "Bacterial small subunit ribosomal RNA", at positions 338 to 795 of the family's 1533-position model. The record is from RNAcentral.
CCUACGGGGGGCAGCAGUGGGGAAUAUUGCACAAUGGGGGAAACCCUGAUGCAGCGACGCCGCGUGUGGGAAGACGGUCCUCUGGAUUGUAAACCACUGUCCCCAGGGACGAAGAUGACGGUACCUGACUAAGAAGCCCCGGCUAACUACGUGCCAGCAGCCGCGGUAAUACGUAGGGGGCAAGCGUUAUCCGGAUUUACUGGGUGUAAAGGGGGCGCAGACGGCAGCGCAAGCCAGGAGUGAAAGCCCGGGGCCCAACCCCGGGACUGCUCUUGGAACUGCGCGGCUGGAGUGCAGGAGGGGCAGGCGGAAUUCCUGGUGUAGCGGUGAAAUGCGUAGAUAUCAGGAGGAACACCGGUGGCGAAGGCGGCCUGCUGGACUGCGACUGACGUUGAGGCCCGAAAGCGUGGGGAGCAAACAGGAUUAGAUACCCCAGUAGUC